GAAGCGUUAGUAAAUCAUUAUAUUACCUUGUCAAGAUAAAGUUACAGGUGGGAUCCCUGUACGCUUCU
This 68-nucleotide transfer RNA is filed under the name Leptobrachella alpina. RNAcentral's name for it is "tRNA-Asp". The record is from RNAcentral. Lineage: Eukaryota; Metazoa; Chordata; Amphibia; Anura; Megophryidae.